This 506-nucleotide ribosomal RNA is filed under the name uncultured bacterium. RNAcentral describes it as "bacterial SSU rRNA". It matches the Rfam family "Bacterial small subunit ribosomal RNA", at positions 8 to 524 of the family's 1533-position model. The record is from RNAcentral.
AGAGUUUGAUCAUGGCUCAGGAUGAACGCUAGCGGCAGGCCUAAUACAUGCAAGUCGAACGGUGUCUUCGGACAUAGUGGCGCACGGGUGCGUAACACGUAUGCAACCUACCUUACAUUGGGGGAUAGCCUUUCGAAAGGGAGAUUAAUACCGCAUAAGACAGUAGCUGGGCAUCCAGCAGCUGUUAAAGAUUUAUCGAUGUAAGAUGGGCAUGCGUCCAAUUAGUUAGUUGGCGAGGUAAUGGCUCACCAAGACUUUGAUUGGUAGGGGAACUGAGAGGUCAAUCCCCCACACUGGCACUGAGAUACGGGCCAGACUCCUACGGGAGGCAGCAGUAGGGAAUAUUGGGCAAUGGACGCAAGUCUGACCCAGCCAUGCCGCGUGCAGGAUGAAGGCGUUAUGCGUUGUAAACUGCUUUUAUACAGGAAGAAACGACUCUUGCGAGAGGCAUUGACGGUACUGUAUGAAUAAGCACCGGCUAACUCCGUGCCAGCAGCCGCGGUAAU